GAUUACAACUGAUGGGAAGCCCAAGAUAAUUGAUAUAAUUGAUACAACUGGCAGCGGUGAUGUAACUACAUGUACUGUUGUAGAAGCUAAAGAUGGAGAAAUCAUUGGUCUCUCUGGAAGAACUUUAAAGAUUCCAGCAAACUGGGUAAAUCCUUCUGGCAAAUAUCAUAUUGGGAUAAAAAAUGGCUAUGACAUAUAUCCUAAAGCUCUCAAGGAGAGGAUUCAG
Non-coding RNA from Meleagris gallopavo (turkey), 226 nucleotides. The record is from RefSeq and is a predicted model, not a curated record. Lineage: Eukaryota; Metazoa; Chordata; Aves; Galliformes; Phasianidae.